Molecule: ribosomal RNA, 484 nt
Filed under: uncultured bacterium
Lineage: Bacteria
Description: partial 16S ribosomal RNA
Rfam family: Bacterial small subunit ribosomal RNA
Source: RNAcentral
AUUGAACGCUGGCGGCAGGCCUAACACAUGCAAGUCGAGCGGAUGAAGGGAGCUUGCUCCUGGAUUCAGCGGCGGACGGGUGAGUAAUGCCUAGGAAUCUGCCUGGUAGUGGGGGAUAACGUCCGGAGACGGGCGCUAAUACCGCAUACGUCCUGAGGGAGAAAGUGGGGGAUCUUCGGACCUCACGCUAUCAGAUGAGCCUAGGUCGGAUUAGCUAGUUGGUGGGGUAAAGGCCUACCAAGGCGACGAUCCGUAACUGGUCUGAGAGAAUGAUCAGUCACACUGGAACUGAGACACGGUCCAGACUCCUACGGGAGGCAGCAGUGGGGAAUAUUGGACAAUGGGCGAAAGCCUGAUCCAGCCAUGCCGCGUGUGUGAAGAAGGUCUUCGGAUUGUAAAGCACUUUAAGUUGGGAGGAAGGGCAGUAAGUUAAUACCUUGCUGUUUUGACGUUACCAACAGAAUAAGCACCGGCUAACUUCGUG